This 440-nucleotide ribosomal RNA is filed under the name uncultured bacterium. RNAcentral's name for it is "partial 16S ribosomal RNA". It matches the Rfam family "Bacterial small subunit ribosomal RNA", at positions 338 to 795 of the family's 1533-position model. The record is from RNAcentral.
CCUACGGGUGGCAGCAGUGGGGAAUAUUGCACAAUGGGGGGAACCCUGAUGCAGCGACGCCGCGUGAGUGAAGAAGUAUUUCGGUAUGUAAAGCUCUAUCAGCAGGGAAGAAAAUGACGGUACCUGACUAAGAAUCCCCGGCUAACUACGAGCCAGCAGCCGCGGGAAUACGUAGGGGGCAAGCGUUAUCCGGAUUUACUGGGUGGAAAGGGAGCGUAGACGGCAGCGCAAGUCUGAAGUGAAAGCCCGGGGCCCAACUGCGGGACUGCUUUGGAAACUGCCCGGCUAGAGUGCUGGAGAGGAAAGCGGAAUUCCUAGUGUAGCGGUGAAAUGCGUAGAUAUUAGGAGGAACACCAGUGGCGAAGGCGGCUUACUGGACAGUAACUGACGUUGAGGCUCGAAAGCGUGGGGAGCAAACAGGAUUAGAUACCCUAGUAGUC